Molecule: non-coding RNA, 74 nt
Organism: Chelonoidis abingdonii (Abingdon island giant tortoise)
Lineage: Eukaryota; Metazoa; Chordata; Testudines; Testudinidae
Source: the annotation of a RefSeq genome assembly
GUCUCUGUGGUGCAAUGGGUCAGCACAUUCAACUGUUAAUUGAAAGGAUGGUGGUUCGAGCCCACCCAGGGACA